CGGGCUGCGCGCACCCGCGCUGGCGCUCGGGCUGACGGACGGACUGACGGCCCCGCAGGCUGACGGCAGCGGGCGAGCCAUGAAGUUGUGGCUCCCGAGUUGUGUCGCAUCCCGUGGCGUUGCAGAACGGGGCCGAGCGUGGAGCAGCGGCACGGUGUAUGUGCGGGCAAAGUUGGGGACGACGUCUGGUUUACUCUUGUGGGGUUGUCUUGUGUCCUGGGGCGCGUUCUGAUGCUCGGCUCUCCCCUAGAUCAGCAUGUGCAGCACUGGAGAUCAACACCGGCUUUAAUAAACCGUGUAAUGGAGGCGGUUCUGGAUCUCUCAAAGGUCUCAGAGGAUCUGCGGUAGGGAGCGUUGUCUGGUGGUGGAUGUGGACUUUAAAACAGUGUGUCUCAACAUCUCAUCCUCAACUAUCAAUUUUUAAUCUGAUUGCACUACAAAAGAAAAGCUGCUAAUGGGAUAAAUGUUGAGACUUUACAAGAACUGACUUGAAGUACCGAAAGCCAUUAUUAUUAAUCAGGAAGAGCUUGAAGCUAAGUCUGUGUCUAACCAGCCAGC
RNAcentral lists this long non-coding RNA (558 nucleotides) under Amazona collaria (yellow-billed parrot). RNAcentral's name for it is "lncRNA (ENSACOG00000000795.1)". Lineage: Eukaryota; Metazoa; Chordata; Aves; Psittaciformes; Psittacidae. The record is from RNAcentral.